AUAGGGGAGCCGCAGGGAAACCGAGUCUUAACUGGGCGUUAAGUUGCAGGGUAUAGACCCGAAACCCGGUGAUCUAGCCAUGGGCAGGUUGAAGGUUGGGUAACACUAACUGGAGGACCGAACCGACUAAUGUUGAAAAAUUAGCGGAUGACCUGUGGCUGGGGGUGAAAGGCCAAUCAAACCGGGAGAUAGCUGGUUCUCCCCGAAAGCUAUUUAGGUAGCGCCUCGUGAACUCAUCUCCGGGGGUAGAGCACUGUUUCGGCUAGGGGGCCAUCCCGGCUUACCAACCCGAUGCAAACUGCGAAUACCGGAGAAUGUUAUCACGGGAGACACACGGCGGGUGCUAACGUCCGUCGUGAAGAGGGAAACAACCCAGACCGCCAGCUAAGGUCCCAAAGUCAUGGUUAAGUGGGAAACGAUGUGGGAAGGCCCAGACAGCCAGGAUGUUGGCUUAGAAGCAGCCAUCAUUUAAAGAAAGCGUAAUAGCUCACUGGUCGAGUCGGCCUGCGCGGAAGAUGUAACGGGGCUAAACCAUGCACCGAAGCUGCGGCAGCGAC
This 557-nucleotide ribosomal RNA is filed under the name Pantoea ananatis. Its description in RNAcentral is "partial 23S ribosomal RNA". It matches the Rfam family "Bacterial large subunit ribosomal RNA", at positions 657 to 1212 of the family's 2925-position model. Lineage: Bacteria; Pseudomonadati; Pseudomonadota; Gammaproteobacteria; Enterobacterales; Erwiniaceae. RNAcentral also lists the same sequence under 1 other name. The record is from RNAcentral.